This is an RNA transcript of Schistocerca gregaria, 2987 nucleotides long. It is a transcript of the gene named CWF19-like protein 2, with no coding region annotated. NCBI's taxonomy places the organism in Eukaryota, Metazoa, Arthropoda, Insecta, Orthoptera, Acrididae. The record is from RefSeq and is a predicted model, not a curated record. The transcript has 16 exons.
AUGAACUUUGAGUUAUUUGUUUUGUUUACGAGUAGCGCGUAAUGUUUGUAUGCCGAUAGAAACAUAUAUUUAAAACAACCGAGUGACGGGGUUGUCGUAGGCUGUAAUUGGAAGAUGUCUCUGAUAAAUUUCAGUAGUGAACGAGAGAGCAACAAGCGACGAGAGGAAAUACGGACGGCGAGAGAAAGAACUUUAAAGAAGGCAGAGGCAGAGUUUUACCAGAAGAAGUUGGAGGAGGAGAGGAGGAGGCAGCGGGGUGACGACAAGUGGAUGGCACCAUCAGUUGAGAGUCGAGUGAGGGAGUCCAGCAAGUCUGACAAACAUAAAAAGUCGAAAAAGAAGAAGGAAAAGAAGAAGAAGGAGAAAAAGAAGAAGGCAAAGAAGAAAAAGCACCAGUCAGACAGUUCCAGUUCGGACAGUGAUGGAGAGGAUGAUGACGAAGCGUGGGUGGAGAAGACAGAUGAGAAGAAAGAAGAUUGUGGUGACAGAACUGUCAGAAAGGAUAAUGUGCCUCAGGAAAGAGACGCAUGGAUGAUCCCGACUGCUGACAUUUCGAACCUGCUAGCACGUGGAACGGACAACACUGACAUCCGUGGAGGCAUCAGAGAAAAGCCAGAUAAUGACAGGCUGAACCUCGAUAUGAUGGGACAGAGUUCACGAGAGCUGAACCCGUACUGGAAGGAUGGUGGGACUGGCUUGCCAGAAGACCAGCCCCAGCGGAGGGAGCCCGCGGCCCGACAGAAGAAAGUCGGAGACGGUGGAGCAGAGUGGCUGCGGCACGCACUGCGGCGGGCCGAGGAGCAGGCGGCAGCAGAGGGCCGGCCACUGGAGGAGGUGGCCGCCGAGCGCUGGGGGUCUCUGAGACACCUGCAGGACAUGAUAGCCACAGCAGAAGGGCAGAGGGACAGCGGUAGAAGGCGACCGGCAUUCAGGAGGCCCGCCGAGGAUGGCAGCUUGCCCAGUCCUGUCGGGGACCGGAGAAGGAUGGAGGAGCGAGGGGGAGGGGAAGGGGGCCACCUGAGUGGCGCCGACAGCCACAGAGAGCGCCGGGGCAGCCCGGACGGGCGGGACAGUGACAGGCGUAGAGACUCUGGGAGGUCGUACGGGCACAGAGAUCACCGCCGGCCUGAAAGAGCAGCUUGGAAAAAGUCUGACGUGAGAGUCGUGGAAGAGAAGACGAGGGGCAGAAGUAGUACUCCGACAAAUGCUGAAAAGACCACACGGAAACAAGCAGGCAGCAGUUCUGACGGCUCUUCAUCGGAGUCUGCAGAAGAAAAGGGAGAGCCGGUGGGCACUGGAGCCCCACUCACUGAUCUGGAGAUGAACGAGCUGGCAGCCAAGCUGGUCAAAGCAGAAAUCCUCGGCAAUGAGGAGCUCGUAUCUCAGCUGCGAGCAAAGCUGGACGCAGCCCGUGCCUCUCGCAAAGCUGGCGAUGACGACAAGCAUGGCCGAGAAACGCGGGAGGAGGAGGAGAUUGUGGUGCUCACCAGGACAGAUGCCAAGGGCAAUGUGCGGCCCGCAGCUGCCCCCAGUUUCGCGCUGGACAGGGAGGCCGACCUAUGGGGAGGUCGUCGAGGCAGGAAAGCGAACAAGAAGAAAACACACGAUUCCAAAGGACAGCGUGUUCAGUAUUUUGCAGACGACUCAAAAUUCAGUCUGCAGGACCUGUACCAACGCGAGAAAUUCAUCUCUGCAGCAGACCAGCAGGCAGAGUUUGUGAAGCUCUCAGCAAAGGGAGUGGAGGGUGGAGCUGCAGAGACGGGGCGGCCGAGUGCAGAUGCGGAACACCGGCGUGCCGUGUCGGACAGCAGGUGGGUGGCGAAGGCCCUGGAGAGCUGCCGCUGGUGCCUGGGCGGCCGGCAGCUGCAGAAGCACCUCAUCGCCGCACUCGGCGACCACGUGUACCUGUGCGUCCCACCUCAUCGCUCAAUAGUGGAGGGCCACUGUUUGCUCAUUCCAUCUCAACACGUCUCCUGCUCGACACAGCUGGAUGAAAAUGUCUGGGAUGAGAUGCAGAGAUUUCGCAAGGCCCUGGUGGCGAUGUUUUUGGGGCGAGGACUGGACGUCGUGUUCUUUGAGACGGCAGUACACCUGAGCAAGAUGCCUCACAUGGUGCUGGAGUGCGUCCCAGUUCCAAAAGAGGCAGGCGACAUGGCUCCUGUCUACUUUAAGAAAGCCAUCAUGGAGUGCGAGAUGGAGUGGUCGAUGAACAAGAAGCUGGUGGACCUGGACGGCAGCAAGAAUGUUCGGCGUGCCAUUCCCAGAGGACUACCCUACUUUUGGGUGGGGUUUGGCAAUGAAGACAAGUUUGCACACAUUAUUGAAGAUGAGAAGCAUUUCCCCAAGAAUUUUGCUCAGGAAAUAGUGGGUGGCAUGCUGGACAUAGACCACAUGCUGUGGAGAAAGCCAAAGAUGGAAAAUUUUGAUGCUCAGCGCCAGAAGGUAAUGCAGUUAGUUCAAUGGUGGAAGCCUCAUGACUUCACACGAGGAACAAAACGUUCUCAUGACAGCAGUUCAUCAUCGCCAUCAUCGUCAUCAUCAGACUCUGAAUGAUAAACUGUAAAACAACGUCAUGAUAUGGCUGAUGUCUCCAGAUUCUCAUCUCGGGGUCAUUAUCUUGAGAGGAACUGCAGUGAACUCUCAAGAGUUCAUCCAGAGUUCUCGCAUUUGGGUUAUGGAAGAGGAUGUAAGAUACUGUAGAGAGCAUAAAAGACUACACAAGUCCCAUGUUUACCUCUAAAGAUGUGCAGAUAAUAGUGCAUAAAUGCCUCUGUUCCACCAAUGAACCAGCUACUACUAACAUUCAGAUACUUUGCCUCUGGUGAUUUCUUUCUGUCCAUUGGAGACUUUGUUGACAUUGACAAGGGGACAGCCAGCAGGAUUAUUAAAAGUAUGUGUAUGUCAAUGGACAACAUGCUCAAGAGAGAGUUUUUUUAAUUAUUUCAGUUUUCCAUUGUAAUUAAAUGAAAAUAAAAUAAACAAGUGUA